UCGCAUAAAGGGGAAGAGGUGCAAAUGUCUGCCUAACUCUCUUUCUACCGUGAUAGAAAGAAUGACUCCACAGCUAACUGAUGCAUGCUAGUUGCUUCUAACUAAGCACAAACAAACUAACCCUUCCGUGGCAGAAGGGAAUGACACUUUGCAAAUUAACCGCAUGCUCUCCCGUUUCCUUGCAGGUGCCCUGACUCUGGCGCUCCCACCUGGUGAUGACCGACGGAGCGCUGACAGGCACAUCCAGGGCAUGGCUGCUCCCCCGCGCCCCGCCCUCCCCAAACAUCUCUGACGGACGGUUGGCUGCAGCCCAGGAAGCACCGUCGCGCCGCGGCCUGCAUCCCAGCCCCGCCCCUCCGAGCGGGAAGGAGGGCUGUGUGGAAUGCUCCAGCUCCCUCGCCAGCCUAAACGCAAGCCCGCUCUUUCCAGUGCAAUAAAACGAGAUGUACAACAA
This is a long non-coding RNA of Eublepharis macularius, 454 nucleotides long. RefSeq lists it as uncharacterized. NCBI's taxonomy places the organism in Eukaryota, Metazoa, Chordata, Lepidosauria, Squamata, Eublepharidae. The transcript has 2 exons. The record is from RefSeq and is a predicted model, not a curated record.